GAUGAACGCUGGCGGCGUGCCUAAUACAUGCAAGUCGAGCGAACAGACGAGGAGCUUGCUCCUCUGACGUUAGCGGCGGACGGGUGAGUAACACGUGGAUAACCUACCUAUAAGACUGGGAUAACUUCGGGAAACCGGAGCUAAUACCGGAUAAUAUAUUGAACCGCAUGGUUCAAUAGUGAAAGACGGUUUUGCUGUCACUUAUAGAUGGUUCCGCGCCGCAUUAGCUAGUUGGUAAGGUAACGGCUUACCAAGGCAACGAUGCGUAGCCGACCUGAGAGGGUGAGCGGCCACACUGGAACUGAGACACGGUCCAGACUCCUACGGGAGGCAGCAGUAGGGAAUCUUCCGCAAUGGGCGAAAGCCUGACGGAGCAACGCCGCGUGAGUGAUGAAGGUCUUCGGAUCGUAAAACUCUGUUAUUAGGGAAGAACAAAUGUGUAAGUAACUAUGCACGUCUUGACGGUACCUAAUCAGAAAGCCACGGCUAACUACGUG
Molecule: ribosomal RNA, 497 nt
Filed under: uncultured bacterium
Lineage: Bacteria
Description: partial 16S ribosomal RNA
Rfam family: Bacterial small subunit ribosomal RNA
Source: RNAcentral